Molecule: transfer RNA, 77 nt
Filed under: Abditibacteriota bacterium
Lineage: Bacteria; Pseudomonadati; Abditibacteriota
Description: tRNA-Met(cat)
Rfam family: tRNA
About the family: Transfer RNA (tRNA) molecules are approximately 80 nucleotides in length. Their secondary structure includes four short double-helical elements and three loops (D, anti-codon, and T loops). Further hydrogen bonds mediate the characteristic L-shaped molecular structure. tRNAs have two regions of fundamental functional importance: the anti-codon, which is responsible for specific mRNA codon recognition, and the 3' end, to which the tRNAs corresponding amino acid is attached (by aminoacyl-tRNA synthetases). tRNAs cope with the degeneracy of the genetic code in two manners: having more than one tRNA (with a specific anti-codon) for a particular amino acid; and 'wobble' base-pairing, i.e. permitting non-standard base-pairing at the 3rd anti-codon position.
Source: RNAcentral
UCGCGGGAUGGAGCAGCCCGGUAGCUCGCAAGGCUCAUAACCUUGAGGUCACAGGUUCGAAUCCUGUUCCCGCCAUC